UCUAAACGACUCUCGGCAACGGAUAUCUCGGCUCUCGCAUCGAUGAAGAACGUAGCAAAAUGCGAUACUUGGUGUGAAUUGCAGAAUCCCGUGAACCAUCGAGUUUUUGAACGCAAGUUGCGCCCAAAGCCAUUAGGCUGAGGGCACGUCUGCAUGGGCGUCAC
This 164-nucleotide ribosomal RNA is filed under the name Ourisia polyantha. RNAcentral describes it as "5.8S ribosomal RNA". It matches the Rfam family "5.8S ribosomal RNA". Rfam says of the family: 5.8S ribosomal RNA (5.8S rRNA) is a component of the large subunit of the eukaryotic ribosome. It is transcribed by RNA polymerase I as part of the 45S precursor that also contains 18S and 28S rRNA. Functionally, it is thought that 5.8S rRNA may be involved in ribosome translocation. Lineage: Eukaryota; Viridiplantae; Streptophyta; Magnoliopsida; Lamiales; Plantaginaceae. The record is from RNAcentral.